Neogale vison (American mink) is the source of this 431-nucleotide non-coding RNA. The record is from the annotation of a RefSeq genome assembly. Lineage: Eukaryota; Metazoa; Chordata; Mammalia; Carnivora; Mustelidae.
AUGGGCUCCACGCUCCUCUGCUGUUUGUCCUCUGCCUCCUGGGAGCAGUCCCCCUGGACACGGCAGUUUCCCAGACUCCAAAACACCUCAUUGCACAGACGGGAAAUAAGAAGUUCCUAAAAUGUGAACAAAAGCUGGGCCAUGAUACCAUGUACUGGUAUAAGCAGGACUCCCAGAAAUUGCUGAAGGUCAUGUUUAUCUACAACAAUAAGGAACUCAUUCUAAAUGAAACAGUUCCAAGACGCUUCUUACCUGAAUCCCCUGACAAAACUCGUUUAAACGUUCACAUCGACUUCCUGGAGACAGAUGACACUGCCGUGUAUCUCUGUGCCAGCAGCCUAGACACAGCCCUGCAAAGUCUUUACCUCCCUGUGUAUAAACCCCCUGCCCAGCCAGGAAGCUGUGUGGGACACAGGUUCACUAGACCCUGA